CCUACGGGAGGCUGCAGUGGGGAAUAUUGCACAAUGGGGGAAACCCUGAUGCAGCGACGCCGCGUGAGUGAAGAAGUAUUUCGGUACGUAAAGCUCUAUCAGCCGGGAAGAAAAAAAGUCCUUUGGACUUUGGUCGGGACCUGACCAAGAAGCCCCGGCUAACUACGGUCCAGCAGCCGCGGUAAUACGUCGGGGGAAAGCGUUAUCCGGAUUUACUGGGUGUAAAGGGAGCGUAGACGGCAGCGCAAGUCUGGAGGGAAAUGCCGGGGCCCAACCCCGGAACUGCUUUUGAAACUGUGCAGCUGGAGUGCAGGAGAGGUAAGCGGAAUUCCUAGUGUAGCGGUGAAAUGCGUAGAUAUUAGGAGGAACACCAGUGGCGAAGGCGGCUUACUGGACUGUAACUGACGUUGAGGCUCGAAAGCGUGGGUAGCAAACAGGAUUAGAUACCCCAGUAGUC
RNAcentral lists this ribosomal RNA (457 nucleotides) under uncultured bacterium. RNAcentral describes it as "partial 16S ribosomal RNA". It matches the Rfam family "Bacterial small subunit ribosomal RNA", at positions 338 to 795 of the family's 1533-position model. The record is from RNAcentral.